Pieris napi is the source of this 1042-nucleotide long non-coding RNA. RefSeq lists it as uncharacterized. NCBI's taxonomy places the organism in Eukaryota, Metazoa, Arthropoda, Insecta, Lepidoptera, Pieridae. The transcript has 2 exons. The record is from RefSeq and is a predicted model, not a curated record.
AGCGUCCCACGUGUACCGCAAAUAAGUCCCAAGUUGUCAUUACGGUCCAUUACCGAUACUAAUACUGCACGGUGGUGCACGACAUGACGAAAUCAUUUCAUAAAAUUGUUCGCGUUUAAAAAAGCGCGCGCAUUUUUUUAGAUUCUUCUCGGAAUCAUUCAGUGAAGAUCACAAUAUGGAGAAGUGAACGCCAGACGAUGUUCAGUCACAAAAUAAUGUAUUAUGUGCUAAUAAUUGUCCCUUUACUGAUAUGUAUUAUAUAGCAUAUAAUAAAUAAUGUAAAAUGCCGUGAAAUUGAUUUGGAUUUUAUAUUUAGCUUAGGAACUUCGUUCAAAUUGUGAAGCGAUCACAGUACAUAAUGUAGACAACCAUACUAUGAUCGCUAUAUAUUUACAUAUGUAAUUGUUAUUUCAAUAGUCUAUUAACACGCAUGCCGCAGAUUGAAAGAUGAAAAAAUACUAAUUCUAAAAUAUGUCUAAUCAAAUUUACAAUCCUAAUAUUAUUUGAAUUUCCUUCAUCCAACUAAAUUAUGAACAGUAUUUCUUAUUGUCUUGGACAUCCACAAUCGUGUCGGCACCAAAGUGAUUUUGACAUUUUGAUUAGGUUUCUCACACGUAUAGGUAGGUACUAGCGAUGUAUCCAAUGUUCCUAAAUAGUAUAGUGUUAGUGGAUUAUAUGUAGUAAUAUACGUAUAAUUAAAUGUAGCGGGAAUUUAAAACUCUUGGUGCUGUAUUAGUCUCAACAGGUCACUUAGUUAGACUUUGUCUAUAGUCUUUGUUUUAUUGUCUAUGACGGCUAACUUGUUUGCACAGACUAUACCCACGUUUAUUAGAUGUAUUAAACAUUCCAAAUGUUUCUGUCCAUCUUUAGUCUUCUUUUGGCUUUACUAAUUGAAUACUGGAUAAAAGUAAAAAAAGGAAGUAUAUUUGUUACAAGGAAAUAGAGAAAUUAAUUAAUGAGGUAUUACAUGAUGAAACCGAAUCAAUUCCACAGCGCAAUAGUGCCAAAGAUUAAAUAAUAAAGAGUAUAUUUGUUUUAAAAA